This is a long non-coding RNA of Medicago truncatula (barrel medic), 2488 nucleotides long. RefSeq lists it as uncharacterized. The transcript has 2 exons. The record is from RefSeq and is a predicted model, not a curated record. Lineage: Eukaryota; Viridiplantae; Streptophyta; Magnoliopsida; Fabales; Fabaceae.
UUGAAAAGAGAGAGUAUAUAUCAAAUAUACUUGUCAUGCCUUUGUUUUUGCUAGCCUAUAGCUAGCUAAGUUUUCAAUCUUCUCAUCACUGUUAAUUCUUUGUGUAUAUAUAUAUAUACACUCAAUCCUCAACUUUGAAGAGCAUUUAUAUACACACACACAUAGCUGACAGAACGGUUUGUGUAGGAAAGUGUGAUAUAUUAUCUAUAGAUUUGUGCACCUUCAGCAGUUGAAGCUGCCAGCAUGAUCUGAGCUUACCUUCUAAUGGCAAGAAUAGAUCAUAUGGCAGCUUCACCUCUUGACUGGAAGCAUAUAUACAAACCCUAAUUUCUUACCUUUCAGAUUUCAUUUCAUUCUUUAUCUUAGAACCCUAGAAAAAAGGUUUGUUCCAUUCCUUCUAGAUCCAUAAAGCUUUUUCUUCCAUACUUAUAUAUAUGCAUGCUAUCUGAAUAAUUGCAGUACUAAUUCAGAUUAUACAUUUUUCUUAUGAUGUUCAGAAUUCAUUUGAAUAUGUUGCAAGAUUUUUGCAGAAAUUGAGAAAGAGAAGGAAGCUGUGAAAUAUUAUGUUCUGGAAUCUGAAAUCAAGUGACAGUAACUCGGUGUGUACUUCUUACCUUGGAUUUGGGGAUACUGGUCCUUUUUUUCUCAUAUAUCUUCAUAUAAUAUGCAGAAGUACUGUUUCAUUUGAAAUAACAAUCUUAUCUUCUGAGAUCUAUAUAUAUAUUUUUACAUUUGUUUCAUAUGGAUUGGAUUGGUAUGAUUCCAAACUUCAAGAUCUAGAAAAAGUAGUUAUGCACAGAUAUAUAGACAUUGGAAUAACUAAUUGUUCCCUCUUCUUCCCACACCUCACACAUUUUCAAUAUCCAUCAAUGAUACAUAUAGAUCCUUGUCUCUUUGAUAUGCUUGUAUUGUGUUGCUUUUUUGUUCAAUUGGUUGAAUUAUUAUAGUGUUAUGGAAAUCAUUAUAGAAGCAUGGCAUGUUACAUAUGUGUAGUAGAUAUACACAGAUCAUGCACAUAUAUGACCAUGGGCACACCUGAAUAUGGAGUUUGUAUCUUAGGUUAUACCUCCUCCGUCCUUAAUAAUUCAUUUAUACAUAUUCACCUUAUUUGUUACUUGUUUUUUUUCUUUCUUUCUAAGAAGCGGAACUAGCCCACCGAAAUUGAUACCAGUUAGAAUCGAACCUGAGAACUUGAGAGAUAUUAUUAGGUAAAUAAAUACUUAAUACGGUCCCCUUCAAAAAAAAAAAAAAAUACUUCAUACAGUUAAAAAUUUGAAUAAAAAAGUUCUACAUAAAAGGAUAAGCUAUAUUUUUUUUUUGAAUUGAUGGAGUAUAUAGUUUCAUUAGACCUUUUUCAAUUACAUGCCUUGCUCAAACUUUGUGGAUGCAUGUAGAGGUGAUUUGGUUGGGAAAAUUAUAAAAGGAUGAAUUUCAUUCUCUCACUUUAAUAUAUUGGUGCUUCCAAAAGAAGACUACCUUUUAAACUACAUUAAUUGUUUAUUAAGCAUUUGAGUCUAAACUUGUUGAACUGAGUGUUAGACUUAGACCGUAGCAGCAAAAAAGUACAAGCUUGGGACAACUGUUGUUGGCAGAGGAGUAUAGUUGUAUCAACACUUGGCAAACUACCUACUAGCUAGCUGCGGCCCCUUCAACGGUAAUGCAUGAGUUUAUCAGUAUAGCUAUGAGAUGUAAUGUAACAACUUUAAUGUUUAUUUUAGGAUAUAUUUUUGUCUUCUAACAGUUACUACUUUUUUCUCUUCUUCUUCUGGAUUUGAAUUCAUCAUAUGAUAACUUCAAUUUUAUUCUUGUUUAAAUUUUACAGUGACAAUAUUUAAUGAAAAUCAACUAAAUAUGGAGUGUUGAGAGGACCUUCUAUUGGAAGUAGGGUUUUUUUUACUUGGGAAGAAGAUUAGGCCACAAAACUUAUGAAUUUAGUUUCUAUAUUUCAUGUGGAAGGUCAAGGAAUGGAGGCGCCGGAUACCGGUAUAGGUUUCUCGGUGAAAUCGGCCUAUGUUUUCCAUGAAGCUCAAAUGUGGUAUGUGGUGUUUAGGUUGGUGGGUUUGGUUAUGUCUCUCUUAUUCUGAAUGCAUUAUUUUCUUGCAUCCAUGGAUGUGGGAAGAAUGUUCCAAGGAGGUGAGGUUGGCAUUCUAUACUAGUUUAUUUGAGGUAUUAGGAAUGAAUUAAUCUUGUCUUAAUUAGAAACCAACUAUUUUGGAGGUAUUGGUCUUAUUGAACAUACCUAUUGGAUAUGGUUUUUGGUGUAGUGUCUUUUUUUUUAAUGGGUUGUGGAUUCACUUGGUUGCUCCCUCUAGAUGAUAGUUGUUUGCCUCAUGGGAACAAUGUUUACAUUUGACUUGUAACAUGGGUUGGGUAUCCCAUGAACUCUUUCCCUAUUGAACUCAUUAUUUUGUUGUUGAAAAACAAAUUCCACUUUGUUAACUUCAAUUUGAAAAUGGUUGUAUGACAUAAAAACUAUAAAUUUCUCCUA